Molecule: ribosomal RNA, 427 nt
Filed under: uncultured Chthoniobacter sp.
Lineage: Bacteria; Pseudomonadati; Verrucomicrobiota; Spartobacteria; Chthoniobacterales; Chthoniobacteraceae
Description: bacterial SSU rRNA
Rfam family: Bacterial small subunit ribosomal RNA
Source: RNAcentral
UCGAGAAUUUUUCUCAAUGGGGGAAACCCUGAAGGAGCGACGCCGCGUGGAGGAUGAAGGUCUUCGGAUUGUAAACUCCUGUCAUUGGUGAACAAAGCCCUCGGAGUAACUGCCGUUGGGUUUGAUAGUAGCCGAAGAGGAAGGGACGGCUAACUCUGUGCCAGCAGCCGCGGUAAUACAGAGGUCCCAAGCGUUGUUCGGAUUCAUUGGGCGUAAAGGGUGCGUAGGCGGCGAGGCAAGUCUGGUGUGAAAUCCCGGGGCUCAACCCCGGAACUGCACUGGAUACUGCCUUGCUAGAGUACUGGAGAGGGAACUGGAAUUUACGGUGUAGCAGUGAAAUGCGUAGAUAUCGUAAGGAAGACCAGUGGCGAAGGCGAGUUCCUGGACAGUUACUGACGCUGAGGCACGAAGGCCAGGGGAGCAAACG